Molecule: long non-coding RNA, 396 nt
Filed under: Salvia miltiorrhiza (redroot sage)
Lineage: Eukaryota; Viridiplantae; Streptophyta; Magnoliopsida; Lamiales; Lamiaceae
Description: long non-coding RNA (SMIL_LNC011387)
Source: RNAcentral
UUUUUUUAUUAAUUUUUUAAAAAUAAUAUUAUAUUAUAUUAAAAAAUAACAAAUAAAUUGUUUAUCCUAAAAUCUGAAUUUAUUUCUAGUUAUAGACUUUGAAAAAUAAUAAAAUCUAAAUACAUUAUUAGAAACCUAAAUACCAAAAAUUAAAUAAUUAAAGUGAAACAAAAGAAAAAAAAAGAAAGAAAAAGAUUUGACUUCAUUUCUUCAACGCCAAAAAUCCCUAUUCAUUGCUCCCGCUCAAUUUUCACGCUAACACCUCAAAAUUUCCCCCAAAUCGGACCUGGCCUCUUUCUCUCUUCACCAUCGCCGUGCCCUGCCACCGCCGUCGCGACUCACCGCCACGACCAGCGCCGCCCGGCACUCACUGCGCCCCCCAUCUCGUCGUCCUCU